Molecule: ribosomal RNA, 194 nt
Filed under: uncultured Parcubacteria group bacterium
Lineage: Bacteria
Description: partial 16S ribosomal RNA
Rfam family: Bacterial small subunit ribosomal RNA
Source: RNAcentral
AUGGGCCCCUUACGGUCCCUGGGCAACACACGUGCUACAAUGGGUAGUAACAAAGGGUAGCGAAAUCGCAAGAUGGAGCCAAUCCCGACAAAACUGCCCCCAGUUCAGAUUGAGGUCUGCAACUCGACCUCAUGAAGCCGGAAUCGCUAGUAAUCGUGAGUCAGCACAUCACGGUGAAUACGUUCUCGGGUCUU